CAGAGGGGGCAAGCGUUGUUCGGAAUUACUGGGCGUAAAGGGCGCGUAGGCGGCCUUCUAAGUCGAACGUGAAAUCCCUGGGCUCAACCCAGGAACUGCGUCCGAUACUGGAAGGCUUGAAUCCGGGAGAGGGAUGCGGAAUUCCAGGUGUAGCGGUGAAAUGCGUAGAUAUCUGGAGGAACACCGGUGGCGAAGGCGGCAUCCUGGACCGGUAUUGACGCUGAGGCGCGAAAGCCAGGGGAGCAAACGGGAUUAGAUACCCCGGUAGUCCACGCCCUAAACGAUAUCAACUGGUUGUUGGGUCUUUACUGACUCAGUAACGAAGCUAACGCGUGAAGUUGACCGCCUGGGGAGUACGGCCGCAAGGUUG
This 370-nucleotide ribosomal RNA is filed under the name uncultured organism. RNAcentral describes it as "bacterial SSU rRNA". It matches the Rfam family "Bacterial small subunit ribosomal RNA", at positions 526 to 896 of the family's 1533-position model. The record is from RNAcentral.